AUUGAACGCUGGCGGCAGGCCUAACACAUGCAAGUCGAGCGGAUGAAGGGAGCUUGCUCCUGGAUUCAGCGGCGGACGGGUGAGUAAUGCCUAGGAAUCUGCCUGGUAGUGGGGGAUAACGUCCGGAAACGGGCGCUAAUACCGCAUACGUCCUGAGGGAGAAAGUGGGGGAUCUUCGGACCUCACGCUAUCAGAUGAGCCUAGGUCGGAUUAGCUAGUUGGUGGGGUAAAGGGCUACCAAGGCGACGAUCCGUAACUGGUCUGAGAGGAUGAUCAGUCACACUGGAACUGAGACACGGUCCAGACUCCUACGGGAGGCAGCAGUGGGGAAUAUUGGACAAUGGGCGAAAGCCUGAUCCAGCCAUGCCGCGUGUGCGAAGAAGGUCUUCGGAUUGUAAAGCACUUUAAGUUGGGAGGAAGGGCAGUAAGUUAAUACCUUGCUGUUUUGACGUUACCAACAGAAUAAGCACCGGCUAACUUCGUG
This 484-nucleotide ribosomal RNA is filed under the name uncultured bacterium. RNAcentral's name for it is "partial 16S ribosomal RNA". It matches the Rfam family "Bacterial small subunit ribosomal RNA", at positions 30 to 507 of the family's 1533-position model. The record is from RNAcentral.